This 223-nucleotide ribosomal RNA is filed under the name uncultured prokaryote. RNAcentral describes it as "partial 16S ribosomal RNA". It matches the Rfam family "Bacterial small subunit ribosomal RNA", at positions 524 to 776 of the family's 1533-position model. The record is from RNAcentral.
UACGUAGAAGACUAGUGUUAUUCAUCUUUAGUAGGUUUAAAGGGUACCUAGACGGUAUAAUUAGUCUUUAAUAGGAAACGGUUAUACUAGAGUUAUAUAUGAGGAGGAGUGUAUUUGUGGAGUAGAGUUGAAAUUCUUUGAUACCAUGACGACUGGUAAAGGCGAAAGCAACCUUUUAUCUAAUAACUGACGUUGAGGGACGAAGGCUCGGGUCGCGAACAGG